This 699-nucleotide ribosomal RNA is filed under the name uncultured archaeon. RNAcentral's name for it is "bacterial SSU rRNA". It matches the Rfam family "Archaeal small subunit ribosomal RNA", at positions 162 to 859 of the family's 1478-position model. The record is from RNAcentral.
CAUAUCUGCUGGAAUGCUUUAUGCGUAAAAUGGAUUUGUCUGCCCAAGGAUGGGUCUGCGGCCUAUCAGGUAGUAGUGGGUGUAAUGUACCUACUAGCCUACGACGGGUACGGGUUGUGAGAGCAAGAGCCCGGAGAUGGAUUCUGAGACAUGAAUCCAGGCCCUACGGGGCGCAGCAGGCGCGAAAACUUUACAAUGCGGGAAACCGUGAUAAGGGGACACCGAGUGCCAGCAUCAUAUGUUGGCUGUCCAGAUGUGUAAAAUACAUCUGUUAGCAAGGGCCGGGCAAGACCGGUGCCGGCCGCCGCGGUAACACCGGCGGCCCGAGUGGUGAUCGUGAUUAUUGGGUCUAAAGGGUCCGUAGCCGGUUUGGUCAGUCCUCCGGGAAAUCUGACGGCUCAACCGUUAGGCUUUCGGUGGAUACUGCCAGACUUGGAACCGGGAGAGGUAAGAGGUACUACAGGGGUAGGAGUGAAAUCUUGUAAUCCCUGUGAGACCACCUGUGGCGAAGGCGUCUUACCAGAACGGGUUCGACGGUGAGGGACGAAAGCUGGGGGCACGAACCGGAUUAGAUACCCGGGUAGUCCCACCCGUAAACGAUGCUCGCUAGGUGUCAGGCAUGGCGCGACCGUGUUUGGUGCCGCAGGGAAGCCGUGAAGCGAGCCACCUGGGAAGUACGGCCGCAAGGCUGAAACUUAA